This is a non-coding RNA of Helobdella robusta, 274 nucleotides long. The record is from Rfam. Lineage: Eukaryota; Metazoa; Annelida; Clitellata; Rhynchobdellida; Glossiphoniidae.
UAUGGGCUGUAUUAAUUACUGCAGUUUUAUUACUUCUAUCAUUACCAGUAUUAGCCGGUAAACUAAUUCUGCCGGCUUUAAAUUCGGCUAUUUGCUGGGAACUGUUUGAUAAUUAUACAUUAUGUCAAACACAAUCAGCAGGAAACCCAUUAGAUUUGAAUCUUUUGGGGAUCUUCAGAGACUACACGCCGGAAUUAAUCUGUUGUACUAUUCUACCUGUAUCCCAAUUAAAACCCAAUAAAGUCAAUAAAGACUGGCCCGCGCGUAGCGCGGG